RNAcentral lists this ribosomal RNA (1432 nucleotides) under uncultured organism. Its description in RNAcentral is "SSU rRNA". It matches the Rfam family "Bacterial small subunit ribosomal RNA". The record is from RNAcentral.
UUACAGGCUUAACACAUGCAAGUCGAGGGGCAGCAUUUUAGUUUGCUUGCAAACUGAAGAUGGCGACCGGCGCACGGGUGAGUAACACGUAUCCAACCUGCCGAUAACUCCGGGAUAGCCUUUCGAAAGAAAGAUUAAUACCGGAUAGCAUACGAAUAUCGCAUGAUAUUUUUAUUAAAGAAUUUCGGUUAUCGAUGGGGAUGCGUUCCAUUAGUUUGUUGGCGGGGUAACGGCCCACCAAGACUACGAUGGAUAGGGGUUCUGAGAGGAAGGUCCCCCACAUUGGAACUGAGACACGGUCCAAACUCCUACGGGAGGCAGCAGUGAGGAAUAUUGGUCAAUGGGCGCGAGCCUGAACCAGCCAAGUAGCGUGAAGGAUGAAGGCUCUAUGGGUCGUAAACUUCUUUUAUAUGGGAAUAAAGUUUUCCACGUGUGGAAUUUUGUAUGUACCAUAUGAAUAAGGAUCGGCUAACUCCGUGCCAGCAGCCGCGGUAAUACGGAGGAUCCGAGCGUUAUCCGGAUUUAUUGGGUUUAAAGGGAGCGUAGGUGGAUUGUUAAGUCAGUUGUGAAAGUUUGCGGCUCAACCGUAAAAUUGCAGUUGAAACUGGCAGUCUUGAGUACAGUAGAGGUGGGCGGAAUUCGUGGUGUAGCGGUGAAAUGCUUAGAUAUCACGAAGAACUCCGAUUGCGAAGGCAGCUCACUAGACUGUCACUGACACUGAUGCUCGAAAGUGUGGGUAUCAAACAGGAUUAGAUACCCUGGUAGUCCACACAGUAAACGAUGAAUACUCGCUGUUUGCGAUAUACAGUAAGCGGCCAAGCGAAAGCAUUAAGUAUUCCACCUGGGGAGUACGCCGGCAACGGUGAAACUCAAAGGAAUUGACGGGGGCCCGCACAAGCGGAGGAACAUGUGGUUUAAUUCGAUGAUACGCGAGGAACCUUACCCGGGCUUAAAUUGCAACAGAAUAUAUUGGAAACAGUAUAGCCGUAAGGCUGUUGUGAAGGUGCUGCAUGGUUGUCGUCAGCUCGUGCCGUGAGGUGUCGGCUUAAGUGCCAUAACGAGCGCAACCCUUAUCUUUAGUUACUAACAGGUCAUGCUGAGGACUCUAGAGAGACUGCCGUCGUAAGAUGUGAGGAAGGUGGGGAUGACGUCAAAUCAGCACGGCCCUUACGUCCGGGGCUACACACGUGUUACAAUGGGGGGUACAGAAGGCGGCUACCUGGUGACAGGAUGCUAAUCCCAAAAACCUCUCUCAGUUCGGAUCGAAGUCUGCAACCCGACUUCGUGAAGCUGGAUUCGCUAGUAAUCGCGCAUCAGCCAUGGCGCGGUGAAUACGUUCCCGGGCCUUGUACACACCGCCCGUCAAGCCAUGAAAGCCGGGGGUACCUGAAGUACGUAACCGCAAGGAGCGUCCUAGGGUAAAACUGGUAAU